Molecule: long non-coding RNA, 885 nt
Filed under: Heterocephalus glaber (naked mole-rat)
Lineage: Eukaryota; Metazoa; Chordata; Mammalia; Rodentia; Bathyergidae
Description: lncRNA (ENSHGLG00000041718.1)
Source: RNAcentral
CUUGAAGAGGCUUUUGGGGCUCCCGCCCCACCUUCUCUCUUUUUAACUUCCUGGUCACCAUGAGGUGACAGCUAUCUAAGCUUGGUGCUCCUGCAUCUACCGAUACGUGGAUACCCCUACAGAUAAACACAGAUAUGAUAAUUCUGUGAAGAAAAUACUGCUUUCCUGCACUGAACUGAAUGACAAUAACCAUGGUUUUAAAUUUCAACUACCUGACACACCCUUCCAGCAAGGAGCUAGUGCUGCUGAAAUGUGUGCUGUUUUAUACCGUUUGCAGACACAAGAAAGCCCUGGCUGUGUGACAGGCUCCUCAGGAGGCACAGCGUCAGCCAGCACCAGAUCUUGGAAAUCCGAGCUUCCACAACUGGAGCUGCAAGCUUCAAACUACUGCUGACUUCUAAUUAGGUUUGGCUGCAGAAGGCAUUGGUAUUUAUGGGGCGUCUGAGACCUUAUCUCAGACAGUUCAUGGUCUCCAACCUGGAUCCGGCUGUCUCCACAGCAGAUGCAGCAAUUGAUUCAAGGUCCUUCAGAGGUUCCAGCAAAUGUAGGACAGAGCUCUCCCUCGGUUCUAGUCCUAUUUCUGGGUGUCCCUUCGAAGUCUCUGGACCUCUUUCCACCAAGAGUCCUCGGACCAACUGUGCAGCAGCUUCACUGGUCCAAUACCUACUGUGUGAAGUGUCCGUGAGGAUCCAAGCCCUUCCUCAUGAUGCUCCCUUGGUGGAGUUACCACCUCCCUGGCUGAGAUUUGGAGCUCUGAUCACAACUGCCCCAAUUUUGCAUUCUUGCAGCCUGAGAGAGAGCAGCUGCUUGCUGUGUUAAUAACGUUGGUAUUAUUUCACCGUCCCCAUUGCUCUCCCUGCCUUUCUUGCAUUUUAAUGAACACCC